AGUGGCAGACGGGUGAGUAAUGCAUAGGAAUCUACCCCUGGGUGGACCAUAGCCCUCCGAAAGGAGGGGUAAUAGUCCAUGGUCUCGCAAGAGUAAAGCCCUUUACUGGGCACCGAGGGAGGAGCCUAUGUCCUAUCAGCUAGUUGGUGAGGUAAUGGCUUACCAAGGCAACGACGGGUAGCUGGACUGAGAGGUCGAUCAGCCACAACUGCACUGAGACACGGGCAGUACACCUACGGGUGGCAGCAACCAGGAAUAUUUGUCAAUGGACGAAAGUCUGAACAAGCGACGCCGCGUGGAGGAUGACAGCCCUCGGGUUGUAAACUCCUUUUGCCAAGCUCUUCACGGCUUGGAGAAUAAGCCUCUACUAACUACGUGCCAGAAGUCUCGGUAAUACGUAGGAGGCAAGCGUUAUCCGGAUUCAUUGGGCGUAAAGUGUGCGUAGGCGGUUUAUUAAGUCUUUAUUUAAAGCCUGUGGCUUACCCAUAG
This 489-nucleotide ribosomal RNA is filed under the name uncultured bacterium. RNAcentral's name for it is "bacterial SSU rRNA". It matches the Rfam family "Bacterial small subunit ribosomal RNA", at positions 94 to 618 of the family's 1533-position model. The record is from RNAcentral.